AGCAGCCGCGGUAAUUCCAGCUCCAAUAGCGUAUAUUAAAGUUGUUGCAGUUAAAAAGCUCGUAGUUGAAUUUCGGGAUCGACGGGUCGGUCGCGCCUCUGGUGUGUACUGGCCCUGUCGGUUUCUCCCUUCUGACGAACCACGAUGUCAUUAAUUUGGUGUCGUGGGAAAUCAGGACUGUUACUUUGAAAAAAUUAGAGUGUUUAAAGCAGGCAUUCGCUUGAAUACAUUAGCAUGGAAUAAUGAAAUAGGACGUUUGAUCUUAUUUUGUUGGUUUCUAAGAUCGACGUAAUGAUUAAUAGGGAUAGUUGGGGGCAUUAGUAUUCAAUUGUCAGAGGUGAAAUUCUUGGAUUUAUUGAAGACUAACUACUGCGAAAGCAUUUGCCAAGGAUGUUUUCAUUAAUCAAGAACGAAAGUUAGGGGAUCGAAGACGAUCAGAUACCGUCGUAGUCUUAACCAUAAACUAUGCCGACUAGGGAUCGGAUGAUGUUAAUUUUUAAUGACUCAUUCGGCGCCUUAA
This 520-nucleotide ribosomal RNA is filed under the name uncultured Glomus. RNAcentral's name for it is "SSU rRNA". It matches the Rfam family "Eukaryotic small subunit ribosomal RNA", at positions 569 to 1091 of the family's 1831-position model. The record is from RNAcentral. Lineage: Eukaryota; Fungi; Glomeromycota; Glomeromycetes; Glomerales; Glomeraceae.